This 554-nucleotide ribosomal RNA is filed under the name uncultured bacterium. RNAcentral describes it as "partial 16S ribosomal RNA". It matches the Rfam family "Bacterial small subunit ribosomal RNA", at positions 355 to 900 of the family's 1533-position model. The record is from RNAcentral.
UAGGGAAUCUUCGGCAAUGGACGAAAGUCUGACCGAGCAACGCCGCGUGAGUGAAGAAGGUUUUCGGAUCGUAAAACUCUGUUGGUAGAGAAGAACGUUGGUGAGAGUGGAAAGCUCAUCAAGUGACGGUAACUACCCAGAAAGGGACGGCUAACUACGUGCCAGCAGCCGCGGUAAUACGUAGGUCCCGAGCGUUGUCCGGAUUUAUUGGGCGUAAAGCGAGCGCAGGUGGUUUAUUAAGUCUGGUGUAAAAGGCAGUGGCUCAACCAUUGUAUGCAUUGGAAACUGGUAGACUUGAGUGCAGGAGAGGAGAGUGGAAUUCCAUGUGUAGCGGUGAAAUGCGUAGAUAUAUGGAGGAACACCGGUGGCGAAAGCGGCUCUCUGGCCUGUAACUGACACUGAGGCUCGAAAGCGUGGGGAGCGAACAGGAUUAGAUACCCUGGUAGUCCACGCCGUAAACGAUGAGUGCUAGAUGUAGGGAGCUAUAAGUUCUCUGUAUCGCAGCUAACGCAAUAAGCACUCCGCCUGGGGGAGUACGACCGCAAGGUUGAAAC